RNAcentral lists this small RNA (185 nucleotides) under Cronobacter sakazakii ATCC BAA-894. RNAcentral's name for it is "Gammaproteobacterial sRNA STnc100". It matches the Rfam family "Gammaproteobacterial sRNA STnc100". Lineage: Bacteria; Pseudomonadati; Pseudomonadota; Gammaproteobacteria; Enterobacterales; Enterobacteriaceae. The record is from Rfam by way of RNAcentral.
GCGCGAUAGACAUCCAACAAUUUUAAUGGUGAAUCCCCCUGUGCGGCGGGGCAUUACUGGCUAAGUCCAAGGGUGAGCAGCAUGCGAGACUUUGUUGCCAGUCAAAGUCUCACCGGGAAGCACCCGGCACUAUUAUUUAUGAGGUUAUUUUAAGGCCAGCUUGUCAGAGCUGGCUUUUUUUUGCC